AAACUGGGGAUUAGAUACCCCACUAUGCCCAGCCGUAAAAUUUGAUUUACAAUAUUUAACGCCAGGAUAUUACGAGCAAUAGCUUAAAAUCCAAAGGACUUGACGGUGCCCUUACCCAUCUAGAGGAGCCUGCCCUAUAAUCGAUUAUCCCCGCUAGACCCUACCAUCUCUUGCCAAUCAGCUUGUAUACUUCCGUCGUAAGCUUACCAUGUGAAAGACCAAUAGUGGGCCUAAUGUUCCGUUUCACCAGUACGUCAGGUCAAGGUGCAGCCUAUGAGAUGGGAAGGGUGGGCUACAAUUUCUAUAAACUAGAACACACGAAAACCCUGCAUGAAAACCCAGAAAUGAAGGUGGAUUUAGUAGUAAAAAGAAAAUAGAGUGUUCUUUUUAAUGAGGCGCUGGGGCGAGU
RNAcentral lists this ribosomal RNA (409 nucleotides) under Ptychadena anchietae (savanna ridged frog). RNAcentral describes it as "partial 12S ribosomal RNA". It matches the Rfam family "Bacterial small subunit ribosomal RNA", at positions 769 to 1384 of the family's 1533-position model. The record is from RNAcentral. Lineage: Eukaryota; Metazoa; Chordata; Amphibia; Anura; Ptychadenidae.